RNAcentral lists this small nuclear RNA (100 nucleotides) under Suricata suricatta (meerkat). Its description in RNAcentral is "U2 spliceosomal RNA (ENSSSUG00005001087.1)". It matches the Rfam family "U2 spliceosomal RNA". Rfam says of the family: U2 is a small nuclear RNA (snRNA) component of the spliceosome (involved in pre-mRNA splicing). Complementary binding between U2 snRNA (in an area lying towards the 5' end but 3' to hairpin I) and the branchpoint sequence (BPS) of the intron results the bulging out of an unpaired adenosine, on the BPS, which initiates a nucleophilic attack at the intronic 5' splice site, thus starting the first of two transesterification reactions that mediate splicing. The record is from Rfam by way of RNAcentral. Lineage: Eukaryota; Metazoa; Chordata; Mammalia; Carnivora; Herpestidae.
AUCACUUCUAGACCUUUUGGCUAACAUCAAAUGUAGUAUCUGUUCUUAUCAGUUUAAAUAAUAUGAAUCAAUAAUAUUUGAGCUAUAUAUUAUAGCCAAA